This 28-nucleotide non-coding RNA is filed under the name Mus musculus (house mouse). Lineage: Eukaryota; Metazoa; Chordata; Mammalia; Rodentia; Muridae. The record is from RNAcentral.
AGCCAGAGAGAAUUCUGGACACAGGAAC